Molecule: transfer RNA, 85 nt
Filed under: Felis catus (domestic cat)
Lineage: Eukaryota; Metazoa; Chordata; Mammalia; Carnivora; Felidae
Rfam family: tRNA
About the family: Transfer RNA (tRNA) molecules are approximately 80 nucleotides in length. Their secondary structure includes four short double-helical elements and three loops (D, anti-codon, and T loops).
Source: Rfam by way of RNAcentral
GCCUGGGUGGUUCAGUUGGUUGGGCAUCUGACUUCAGUUCAGGUCAUGAUCCUGCAGUUUGUGGGUUCAAGCCCCAUGUCGGGCU